GCGGCGGACGGGUGAGUAACGCGUGGGAACGUACCCUUCUCUGCGGAAUAGCCACUGGAAACGGUGAGUAAUACCGCAUACGCCCUUCGGGGGAAAGAUUUAUCGGAGAAGGAUCGGCCCGCGUUGGAUUAGGUAGUUGGUGGGGUAAUGGCCUACCAAGCCUACGAUCCAUAGCUGGUUUGAGAGGAUGAUCAGCCACACUGGGACUGAGACACGGCCCAGACUCCUACGGGAGGCAGCAGUGGGGAAUCUUAGACAAUGGGCGCAAGCCUGAUCUAGCCAUGCCGCGUGAGUGAAGAAGGCCUUAGGGUCGUAAAGCUCUUUCGCUGGGGAAGAUAAUGACUGUACCCAGUAAAGAAACCCCGGCUAACUCCGUGCCAGCAGCCGCGGUAAUACGGAGGGGGUUAGCGUUGUUCGGAAUUACUGGGCGUAAAGCGCGCGUAGGCGGAUCAGAAAGUUGGGGGUGAAAUCCCGGGGCUCAACCUCGGAACUGCCUCCAAAACUCCUGGUCUUGAGUUCGAGAGAGGUGAGUGGAAUUCCGAGUGUAGAGGUGAAAUUCGUAGAUAUUCGGAGGAACACCAGUGGCGAAGGCGGCUCACUGGCUCGAUACUGACGCUGAGGUGCGAAAGUGUGGGGAGCAAACAGGAUUA
RNAcentral lists this ribosomal RNA (650 nucleotides) under Salipiger marinus. RNAcentral's name for it is "bacterial SSU rRNA". It matches the Rfam family "Bacterial small subunit ribosomal RNA", at positions 95 to 780 of the family's 1533-position model. Lineage: Bacteria; Pseudomonadati; Pseudomonadota; Alphaproteobacteria; Rhodobacterales; Roseobacteraceae. The record is from RNAcentral.